RNAcentral lists this ribosomal RNA (405 nucleotides) under uncultured bacterium. Its description in RNAcentral is "partial 16S ribosomal RNA". It matches the Rfam family "Bacterial small subunit ribosomal RNA", at positions 30 to 526 of the family's 1533-position model. The record is from RNAcentral.
AUUGAACGCUGGCGGCAGGCCUAACACAUGCAAGUCGCACGAGUGGCGGACGGGUGAGUAAUGUCUGGGAAACUGCCUGAUGGAGGGGGAUAACUACUGGAAACGGUAGCUAAUACCGCAUACCAUCGGAUGUGCCCAGAUGGGAUGAGCUAGUAGGUGGGGUAAAGGCUCACCUAGGAGAAGAUCCCUAGCUGGUCUGAGAGGAUGACAGGCCACCCUGGAUCUGAGACACGGUCCAUACGCCUACGGGAGCCAGCAGUGGGGAAUAUGGCCCAAUGGGCGCAAGCCUAAUGCAGCCAUGCCGCGUGUAUGAAGAAGGCCUUCGGGUUGUAAAGUACUUUCAGCGGGGAGGCGUUGCCCGCAGAAGAAGCACCGGCAAACUCCGUACCAACAGCCGGGUAAUUC